CCAGGGAUAUGCACAGACAGAGAAAAGACCAUGUGAAGACAUAGUGAGAAGGCCAUCUGCAAGUGAAGGGGAGAGGCCUCAGGAGAAACCACACCUGUAGACAUCUUGAUCGCAGACUUCUAGCUUUUAGAACUGUUGUUUCAGCCACCCUGUCUAUGGCAUUUUGUUAUGGCAGCCCUAGCAGACUUAAUGUGCUCAGCGAUAAAAAGAAGUGAAAUACUAUACACUGACAUGGAGGAAUCUAAAUAAUACUGUGUCGAAUGAAAGAAGCCUUAAACAAAACAGCAUGUAACUGUAUGAUUCCAUUUAUAUGCCAUUUUAGAAUAGGCAAAAUUAAUUUUUUAGAAAAAAUAUCGGAACAGUUGUUGCCUCUGAGGCAAGGAAUUUAGCAUCGUGAUUGACCCAGGUGGCAUGAAAGGAUUCUGGGGGUGAUGAUCCUGUUUUUUCAAUCCAGACUGGGCUUUGAAUUACAUAGUUGUAUUUAUUUGUCAAAAUUCAUUGAAUGGUAUAUUUGACAUUUGUACAUUUAUUGUAUAUUAACUUUACCUCAAAAGAAAAUAUACAUACUUUAAGAUAAAUAUUAAACAUUAGUCAGUGAUAUGCAUGCUGAAGUAUCUGGAGUGAGUGUACUGAUUUUGCAAACUACUCUGAAAUGUGUCAAAAGUAAAGUGAUUGAUGAAGAAUGCGCUUGAACAACACUAUGAAAUUUUGGACUUUGAAGACAUGGAAGGUGAGGGCUUGAAGAAAGAAAAAUCUUAUUGGAAACUAAAGGAAAGGGGCUCUUUGUUAUGCAGUGGUAGAAAGUUUAGCAAUACAGUUUUCUGAAAUUAUAUGGAAAAUGUGUCUAUUGGCAAGGGUAAUCUAGCUAAGGAGAUUUUCAAAUAGUGUUGAAGGUGACACCUGAUUUCUUCUUGGGUCUUACAGGAAGGCGUUGAAUUGAGAGAAGGAAGAUUAAAGAUGAAAUCAAGGGUGUGACUUAAAACCAUUCGUGAAGACCUCAGAAGAAACAAAGAUGGUGCCUCAGAAUACGAUUCAGUCACAUAGGAGCGCUUUAAAUAAAUUAAGGUUUCACAGGUUAAGAAGAAGAAAUGUACUCAAAGAGCUGUACUUAAGGAAUUAAAACUGAGGAGCCCCAACUGCACCUGGACCUGAUUUAGAUGACAAGAUUUUGGAUAUUGAGCUCACACUGCAAUGGGAUGAGACUUUGCAAUCCUUGGAGGGGUGAGUAUAUUCUGCACAUUGAAGGGAUAUAAGUCACUGGGGGGCCAGAGGAAGAGUGUGGUAGCCAGAUUCCAGGAUAGCUCCUCAUGAUCUCGAUCUCCCGGUACUCAUAUUCCUUUGUAAUCUCUUCCCCAUGAAUGUGGACUGGAUUUACUAACUCGCUUAAUAUGGCAGAAGUGACGAGGUGUCAACUCUGAGAAUAAACUAUAAAAAGAUUGUGGUUUCUGUCUUGGGUGCUUUUGCUGGUUCCCUCUUGGAUCACUCGGCCUGGGGAAAGGCAACUGCAACGCUGUGAGGCAACCCUGUGGAGAGGCUCAAAUAGUGAGAGAUUGAGACGUGCCGGCAUCCACACCAGUGAGCUGCAAGGUAAACUCUCCCCAGCUAAGCCUCCAACCCCAGCCCACAACUUGGCUGGUACCUGACAAGAGAAGCAGAGCCAGAGGCACUGAGUUAAGCCAUGUCUGUGAGAUAACAGAAACUGACAUAAUAAAUGUUUUUGUUUUAUUUUAAGCUGCUAACUUUUGGGCAAUUUGUCAAUGAAACAAUAGAUUAAUACACAGAACAGAACUGAGAAACCAUAAUGAAAAGGAAAAAGGUGAAUCAGAGAAUGAAUAGGACACAGCUCUGUUUUCUUUCAACAAUAGAUAAGCAUAAUCUUGGAGAUGAAGAGUGGAAGAAAUAUGAAAUGACCAAUGGUCAAAUAAAGUAGUAGCAAGAAAAUACAACAGUAGAGAAAGGAGAGCAAGAAGGGAAAGGGAGAAACACUCCUGCUGAAGAUUCCUUUAUGAUUAAAGGAGAUAAACAAAGGCCAGCAGAAGAAAAAAGAAGUCCACUGUGGUCUCUGAGCAGGAGAAGAUGGGUCAUGGAACCACUGAAAUGUUACUGACAUCAUGGAAGCAUCAAGGAAAAGUCAAAAAAUCCUUCAUAAGGGUUUAUAUUCUGGGAACCAUAAUUACAAAGUCACUAGGGCUGGCUCUGAAAUGACUGAUGCUGAAGAGGGAAGAGGGUGAUGCAAUCUCUAGGAGUAGGGAAUUCAUCAUUUAUUUUGGAAGUGAUUACUGGGGGAAAAAGAACUAUUGGCAAAUCUUUAUACUCACAUUAUUAAGCAGGCCAAGGAUGAUUAUUUAGAUGUGAAAUGGUUGCUAGAGAUGAGGUAGUUGCAUGGAUUUAAAAACUUUAAAGUUAUAAAUCUGCUGCUUAAAAUACUGAACAAACUAGAGGCAUGUAUUCAGCGACAGAAAUGUGAGGCCCAGCUAUGGCAAAGGAGGGAACAUCAUCUAUCUUGACAGAUGCUCUUGCCUGGUGAUAUUAAAGCCUAAAUGUAUAUUACAGCUGACAGCAUCAUGCCAAGUAGUUCCUGUACAAGCAUAAAGAAAAACUGAAGGAAUAGUACAGUCUUAAGCAAAGUUGAAACAAAUCUAAAAUUUAAAUAUAGCAUAACAUUUUUAAAAAAUUGAUCCAGAAAAAAUGCAGUUAUAUUUAGAAAACAUACAUCUGGUCAUAUCUGCCAAAUAAGAGCCCCAAACUGUGUUAGGUACUAUAGUGGACACAAAAGAAACCCUGGCCCCAAGGGACUUACGAACCAGCUGGAGACUCAAGUUCUAUGCGUGUAAACAAUUAGAGAAGGACUCCUGAAAGGACAGACAGUAUGCCUGACAAAAAAUAGCAAUGGCAUGUGACCAACAAAACACAUGAGAACACGGUUAAUCCAAUUUUCCUGAGCUGAAAGAGAGAGGACAGGUAAAAAGGAAAGUGAAAGCAACAGUAUCCUUGGAGUCUGGCUCACAGCCAAGCAGAUGGGCCAUGACCCCCAGAACCCAUCUCUCUGAGCCUCUGGUUCUUUGUAAAGUGGGUACCACCUACCUCCUAGGGAUGCCGUGAGGAUUAUGUUACAGUGUGCCUUAUACAGUAACAGUAUUAACUGCUCAAUAAAAGGUCUUUAUUGUUUUACCAAUGAGUCCAGAAAGAGCAAGGAACAAACAAGAAGAAAAUCAAGGGGAAAGCAAGAAAAAAACGAAAGCCAAUGGAGUAUGAAGAAGACUACGUGCAAGUAAGUCCUGUAGGUAGACAUUGAUUAGAGGCAAAAGUCAGAGAGGGCAUGACUAUGGUAUGAUUAGUGGGAUAAGCUAGGGAAAAAUUAAACCCCACCUUGAGGAAAUAAAUUGAAGAGCUACGGAUGUGUUACCCUGUAGGUUUCCAGAAGAAUGAUUGAAACUAAAACUAGUAUAGGGCCUUUGAGCAAAAUAUUUAAUGGUUGGAGAAAAAAAACCAAGAUGAUUAUAUAUUAAACAUGUAUACCUUUCUGCAUGUCCCUUCCCAGGAAGAAAAAAUAAUGGACAAAAUAAAAAAGAUUAUAAUAUAAUUAUUAACUAUAUAAUAAUUAACACUUCAGUGAUUACUCUCUGAUAACCACUGUUUGAAGUGCUUAUCAAGCACAGUCUUAUUUAAUCAUCAUUACAACUCUGUGAGGAAGAAAUAAUUGUUAUCAUUUACCAAGAAGGUGACUGAGUCACAGGGAAAUUUAACUUGUCCACUUCGGUGGGCAAGUUAAGCAACACUACACUAAAUUGCUUCUCACAGUUAUCCUGAGCUGGGUCACAAACUUUGGGUAGAAUAACACUCUGGUGUAAUGAGUUUAAAGCACCUACAAUAAGAAUAAGACCCCAAAUUGUUGCAAUGAAAAAUAUAGUAACUUUGGAUUGGUAAUAGACAGUCCUUUAAAAGAUCACACAUAAGCCAGGCACUGCGGCUCAUGCCUGUAAUCCCAGCACUUUGGGAGGCCAAGGGAAAGAGGAUCACUUGAGCCCAGA
Molecule: long non-coding RNA, 4031 nt
Filed under: Homo sapiens (human)
Lineage: Eukaryota; Metazoa; Chordata; Mammalia; Primates; Hominidae
Description: HSALNT0313167
Source: RNAcentral